RNAcentral lists this transfer RNA (64 nucleotides) under Laemobothrion tinnunculi. Its description in RNAcentral is "tRNA-Pro". The record is from RNAcentral. Lineage: Eukaryota; Metazoa; Arthropoda; Insecta; Psocodea; Laemobothriidae.
CAAAAGUUAGUUUAUUAAAACCCUAGGUUUGGAGCCUAAAGAUGAAUUUUUCAGUCACUUUUGA